GUUGGUUCUUUAUACAGUAACGCCAAAGCCUGUUGCAAACAUUAUAGAUAGCCAUCUCUGGUAAAGUAUUUUACUGUGAAAACAAUCAGGGUGUCCCUCUCCCCCUUCUCUGCCCAGGAAUAACCUGAGAUCAAUAUUGAUGAACUGCAAACACUCAUGACAGGGAGGCCAACAGAAAGUUGACCCCCAGAAUUAUGAAUGUUGCACCACAUUUCCAUGACCCUACUGAAAUUCCAUUUGUAAAUAGGGGUUCAUUGAUGAUGCGUGAAGAACUCUAUUUUCUACCCUAUGGCACCCCAUUACAUUUAGGCUUAAGUGUUUGAGCAAUAGGGUGACAUUACUUUUUAUAUUGGUUUGAUUAAUCCUUCAACUGCUUGAAUAGUUGUUUGCUUUACCCAAUUACUAUUUUGCUGUCAACAAGAGAAAUCCCCCCGAAAGAGUUUACUGCAUAGCAUUACAUAGUAGUUUGUCAAGAAUUAUGAGAACGGCAGACAAAAUGCCAUAACUUAUUAUGUACAUCCAUAAUUACUCAACUUUGCACAGUCACUAGACUGCAUCUCCUUACAGAGCUGUGCUGAUCGGUUGAAUGGUAGACUUGUUGGUUUUUAAGCAGUGCGUUGUGCUGUUCUUUUUUUUCCGUUUAGACAAUGUUGAGCUGGUGUUGGAUUCAUCAGCCAUUCCUGAAUCAGGCACUGCCAAAGUGAGGUCCAGACCCGCAGUCAAGCACUACAUGUCCUCCUCUGAUGUUGUGCAAGGGUUUGCUGUCCCAACACCCAAAGUUCCUGUCCUCCCCCCUUUCAACAGUCCAAAGAUCAACAGGGCAGUAAAUGCCGAUCGGUUUUCCAAUGGAUCGGCUAUAUCUGUGCCCGAUUUGGUGGAUGGGGAGAUAUUUAUUCCACCUCCCCCUACAAUGGCACCCCCACCCCCCCCACCCAUGUUCAUCCCUCCCCCACCAGAUUUCUUGGGUGACUUGGACUCCCUUCAGCCUCCCUCCAUGCCCCCUCCAAAACCUCCAUCAGUGCUUCUGUCUAAAGAGUACGAGGAUUUCACCUCCCUGAAACCUCCACUAAUGCGCCCCCCGAAGCCCCCGUCAACUUCCUCCAGUGCUUCUAGUUCAUCUUUGUCCAUUUCUAUACCAACACCAGUCCCUGAUUUUACUGAGCCCCCAAAGUUUGCCCCUCCACAGCCCCCUAUAGACAUGAGACAAGCUGCUCUGAAAGCCCUGAAGACCCCGCCUCCAAAGCCAACAAGGCUGUCCUCCAUCCACAGCAUGGACGAAGCCUCCCAGGUUCCAGCCCAAGCUUCCCCAGUACAGACCCCAACACCCUCCAGCUUCAACCCCCAGAACACAGCUAAGCUGGUCAAGCAGGAAGCGUCUCCAGGCCGGAAUAACAAGUUCAGUCCUAUGCUGGACAGUAAACUACGCAACCUGAAGGCCAGUGAUGUCACUGGGAUGAGGGGGGACGGUCCUGCCGCUUCCCCCCUGGCUUUUCUCAUGGCGGCUAAAGAGCGAGAGAGGCACAGGUCCAGUCUUUCCCUUGAAAACAGCACAAAGAGUAAUGAGCCAUUAUCCAGCAUCCAGCACAGUGAAUUCAAUCCCAAUUCUUUCACCGUCAUCCCUAGGGCCACCUCAUUCACUUCUGUAACCUCACAACAUAAACCACAGUCUGUGGUCCCACUGGAGGCCACAGUGGUAAUCCAGAUUCCAGCAAAACCCCAGAUUAUUGAGUCAGCGGUGAAGGGGCCAAUUGCAAAUCCAGCAGUUAAAAGGAUUCUGCCCACCUCUAGAUCCUCAUCCUCCAGCAGUCUAGCCAUGGAGAAGCAAAGUGGAGAGCAGAGGAUUGAUUCACCCUCUAGCCUUGUCAGGGAUGACGAGAACCUAUGCAUGCCAUUACUCCCUCCCCCUCCCGAAUUCGAUGACCAUGAUGUCGUGGACUCUCCUCCCAGCUCACCUCCACCUGACCCUCCACUGAAGAAGGUCCUCCCUCCCACUCCCAGCCCUGUCCUUCCAGUCCUGUCCUCUACUGCCAACCCUGUCCUUCCUGUCAAAACUCCCUCGCCUCCCCCUCCAAAACCUAAAUCUCCAAGCCCUCCCAAAUUCCCACCUCCUGUCAUGGAGAUCAAACCCAAACUGCCUGUUCAGAUCAAACCCAAGCCGCCUCCUACCCAGGCCCUCUCAGCCAGCCAGGCCACACUCCAGAGCAUCCUGCAGAAGAAGAUGCUAGAGAUGGACUGCAAAAUGGACAACAAAAUGCUGGCCAUGAAGGAAACAGACUCUGAUGACUGGGGGUCUCCCUUGUCUGAUGAGACCAAGUUCCCGGUUGUCCCCAGAGUCAUCCCGAAAAACCCUGUUAUCACUACAAAGAGCAAGAGUGCCACUGUGCCAGCCACAACACAAGGAGUUGACAUGAAGGAGCUGGAGACAAAAAUGGCCAUGAAAGUUCAGGGUUUGUCAGAGCCAUCAAGAGUUCCCACAAGCAAUGGGCCACGGUCAAAGCAGGCGUAUGGCAUGACUUUCAUGGUACAACCCGGAACCAAACAACCAAUCACUGUUGUCAGCAAAUGA
Oncorhynchus kisutch (coho salmon) is the source of this 2566-nucleotide long non-coding RNA. The record is from Ensembl. NCBI's taxonomy places the organism in Eukaryota, Metazoa, Chordata, Actinopteri, Salmoniformes, Salmonidae.